GAAACUUAAAGGAAUUGGCGGGGGAGCACAGCAACGGGAGGAGCGUGCGGUUUAAUUGGAUUCAACGCCGGAAAACUCACCAGGGGCGACUGCCACAUGAAGGCCAAGCUGAUGACUUUGCCCGAUUGGUAGAGAGGUGGUGCAUGGCCGUCGUCAGUUCGCACCGUAGGGCGUUCUGUUAAGUCAGAUAACGAACGAGACCCUUGCCCAUAAUUGCUACCUACCCCUCCGGGGGCAGAGGACUUUAUGGGGACCGCUGGUGCUAAAUCAGAGGAAGGAAAGGGCAACGGUAGGUCAGUAUGCCCCGAAUCCCCUGGGCAACACGCGCGCUACAAAGGCCGGGACAAAGGGUUCCGACCCCGAGAGGGGUAGGCAAUCCCGAAACCCGUCCGUAGUUCGGAUCGAGGGCUGCAACCCGCCCUCGUGAAGUUGGAUUCCGUAGUAAUCGCGGAUCAACAUCCCGCGGUGAAUAUGCCCCUGCUCCUUGCACACACCGCCCGUCAAACCAUCCGAGUGGGGUUUCGAUGAGGGUGGGCUUUUUUGGCCUUCUCGAAUCGCGAUUCUGCAAAGGAGGGUUAAAGUCGUAACAA
Molecule: ribosomal RNA, 590 nt
Filed under: uncultured euryarchaeote
Lineage: Archaea; Methanobacteriati; Methanobacteriota
Description: bacterial SSU rRNA
Rfam family: Archaeal small subunit ribosomal RNA
Source: RNAcentral